Leptonychotes weddellii (Weddell seal) is the source of this 753-nucleotide long non-coding RNA. RefSeq lists it as uncharacterized. NCBI's taxonomy places the organism in Eukaryota, Metazoa, Chordata, Mammalia, Carnivora, Phocidae. The record is from RefSeq and is a predicted model, not a curated record.
GCGAGAGGUCUGGACCAAACGUCCUGCCCGCGCCUGGCAACCGGGACCAAGCCACGCCCUUAUUCUUCUACCAGUGCUCUUCAUUCUUUGCAUAGACUCAAAUUUCCACGUGGCAUCAUGUUCCUCUGUCUGAAGAACUUCCUUUCUUUUAGCCAAGAUUUUACUCCACCGCUUCCGGAUUACAUAGUUUCCGAAGGGAAGUCUGCUCUAGUCCUUUGUUCUAUGUAUCUGGUUGUAUCUGUAUCUUUGCAAGGUUCUUGUCUCACAGAGCCGAAGAAUGAAUCUCUCGGACACAAAAAGGUGAAGUGAAGUGAAAGCUUAUUAAGUGAAGAUAGUCAUAAAGACGUAUCCGGACAUUCAAUGAAUCACUGCUGUGUGCUGUGAAAAUUAAUAAAAGGAAACAUGGUUUACCAUAUAGAAUCAGGAGGCCAGCAGGAGGAGCUCUCAUUCCCAGCACUGGUUAUCAAUUGCAGAUCCAACAGGAACAGAAGGACCUUACACAUGGAUACUAUCUUACCAUCCCAGGCACAGGAAGAAAAGUUGGCAACAGACCAGCCAAUGAGAGACAGUCACAGCUCAGCCCACGAGAAGCCACUUCCAAUUCCCCGUUUCCUUCCAUGGACUUUUUGUUUGUAACCGCCCUCCCAACUCUCUCUUUCCUCUAUAAAAGAGAAUUUCUCUCCUUUGUUCUGGGGACUUGCCUAUGGUUUUGCUGUAGCGUGCUUGUCCCUGAACUCUCUGCUAUUCCAGAAU